AGACACGGCCCAGACUCUUAGGGGAGGCAGCAGUGGGGAAUUCUCCCCAAGGGGGGAGACCCUGACGGAGCAAUACAGAGUGAGGGAGGAAGGCUUUUGGGUUGUAACCCUCUUUUAUUAAGGAAGAAGCAAGUGACGGUACUUAAUGAAUCAGCAUCGGCUAACUCCGUGCCAGCAGCCGCGGUAAUACGGAGGAUGCAAGCGUUAUCCGGAAUCAUUGGGCGUAAAGCGUCCGCAGGUGGUCAAUCGUGUCUGCCGUUAAAGACAGAAGCUCAACUUCUGAGAGGCGGUGGAAACUGGAGAACUAGAGUACGGUAGGGGUUGAGGGAAUUCCCAGUGUAGCGGUGAAAUGCGUAGAUAUUGGGAA
Molecule: ribosomal RNA, 367 nt
Filed under: Dermocarpella sp. HSC4
Lineage: Bacteria; Bacillati; Cyanobacteriota; Cyanophyceae; Pleurocapsales; Dermocarpellaceae
Description: bacterial SSU rRNA
Rfam family: Bacterial small subunit ribosomal RNA
Source: RNAcentral